UGGGGAAUAUUGCACAAUGGGCGCAAGCCUGAUGCAGCCAUGCCGCGUGUAUGAAGAAGGCCUUCGGGUUGUAAAGUACUUUCAGCGGGGAGGAAGGGAGUAAAGUUAAUACCUUUGCUCAUUGACGUUACCCGCAGAAGAAGCACCGGCUAACUCCGUGCCAGCAGCCGCGGUAAUACGGAGGGUGCAAGCGUUAAUCGGAAUUACUGGGCGUAAAGCGCACGCAGGCGGUUUGUUAAGUCAGAUGUGAAAUCCCCGGGCUCAACCUGGGAACUGCAUCUGAUACUGGCAAGCUUGAGUCUCGUAGAGGGGGGUAGAAUUCCAGGUGUAGCGGUGAAAUGCGUAGAGAUCUGGAGGAAUACCGGUGGCGAAGGCGGCCCCCUGGACAAAGACUGACGCUCAGGUGCGAAAGAGUGGGGAGCAAACAGG
This 429-nucleotide ribosomal RNA is filed under the name Chloroflexota bacterium. RNAcentral's name for it is "Chloroflexi bacterium partial 16S ribosomal RNA". It matches the Rfam family "Bacterial small subunit ribosomal RNA", at positions 355 to 776 of the family's 1533-position model. The record is from RNAcentral. Lineage: Bacteria; Bacillati; Chloroflexota.